Molecule: long non-coding RNA, 817 nt
Organism: Bombus terrestris (buff-tailed bumblebee)
Lineage: Eukaryota; Metazoa; Arthropoda; Insecta; Hymenoptera; Apidae
Exons: 3
Source: RefSeq, a predicted model, not a curated record
AGAAGAGAAAAGAAGAAAAAUAAAAAAGAAAGAAAGAACGCAUCGGUUACCGAAGAGAAUCUGCAUUUGCGAACAGACAAUCAUGUGCUCCACUCUGGUGGCGGAGUAUCAGUUACGUCGCAGUUUCUGUUCAGUGCAGACUUCUGUUCGAAUUUCCAGUGCCUCUCAUUAAUUUUCUUCGUCGUUCUAUGCUUUUUUAUACGUUAUCGUUAAUUAAAUAAAUGGCUAUUUGGCCGACGAAGGAUAACGACGGUGGCAAAUCGAAUAGAAAAGUCGUUAGAGCUACGACGAAAGUGAAAAUAAAAAAGAUAUUUUUAAAUGGUUUUUAUUUAAAGAUGUAGCAAGAAGAAGAACAUAAUUUCCUCGAUCAGCUAAGCAGACAAUUAUUUCCAAGAAAAAAAUAUUGCCAGUUUCGCAAAAUACUAUUGUACUGAGAACAAGCAUGCGUUUCAACAUCAGCUUUUCAGCUGGUCGGGAAAUGGAUGAAAAUUCGCUUAUAAAAUUCCACCCAGACAAACGAACAACAAAAUGAGCUAAAUAAAAACCACAAAUAAAGAGAAGUUACGUCGAAAUAUGAGAAUGGCGUUCGUAUUUCGUAUCCAAAACAAUUAAUGUGUAAUACCGUUGAUAUCCAGUGUCUCUACAAAAAGGAACUCUUCUUAGUAAAGAAAAAGCUGUUCGUUUACUACGUAGGAUAGCGUAUGCAAGAAAUUGAUCAUUCCAAAUGUUUCGAUUCGAAACUCUACGCUCUGUGGUAGAAAAGAAAGGGACUCAAAGCGAAGAAUCAUCGAGGUACUCACUGCCAAUUGAAUUUCCC